AAUUUAAAUUAUGGGUGUGAUCUUGGCUUGGAGUGAAUGCUAGCUAAGUGUCUAACACAUGCAAGUCAAGGUGUUAAUCACAAUUACUUUGUAAGUGUGGGGAACAACUGGCGUCGUGGUGAGUAUAUACGUGUAAGAUAACAUUACAGGAGUUAAAUACUUAAAAAGCGCUUUAGCGCGUGUAAUGGGUCGAUGCGUAUGGGAUUAGGUUUUCAACUAAGUUGAGCCUACGAUCUCUAGUUGAUUUGAGAGAUGGGUCAACCACAUGGGGUAUGGAAACUACCCCGCCCUUAGGCAGCAGUGAAGAAUAUUAGGCAAUGUGCGAAAGCAUGACCUAUCAAAUUAGCGGAGAUGAAGAAGAUUCAAUUGUAAAGUCUAUACGUACGUGAGCAUAUGAGGGUAAGCGUAAAAAGAAGUCAUGGCUAAUACAGGUGCCAGCAGCCGCGGUAAUACCUGAGUGAUUAGCAUUAUUCGGCAUGAUUGGGCGUAAAGGAUACGUAGG
Molecule: ribosomal RNA, 502 nt
Filed under: uncultured bacterium
Lineage: Bacteria
Description: bacterial SSU rRNA
Rfam family: Bacterial small subunit ribosomal RNA
Source: RNAcentral